Molecule: unclassified non-coding RNA, 300 nt
Organism: Callithrix jacchus (white-tufted-ear marmoset)
Lineage: Eukaryota; Metazoa; Chordata; Mammalia; Primates; Cebidae
Rfam family: Metazoan signal recognition particle RNA
About the family: The signal recognition particle (SRP) is a universally conserved ribonucleoprotein. It is involved in the co-translational targeting of proteins to membranes. The eukaryotic SRP consists of a 300-nucleotide 7S RNA and six proteins: SRPs 72, 68, 54, 19, 14, and 9.
Source: Ensembl
GCCAGGCACGGUGGCACAUGCCUGUAGUCCCAGCUACUCGGGAGGCUGAGGUGGGAGGAUCGCCUGAGCCCAGGAGUUCUGGGCUGUAGUGCGCUAUGCCGAUUGGGUGUCCACACUAAGUUUGGCAUCAAUAUGGUGACCUCCUGGGAGCAGGGGACCACCAGGUUACCUAAGGAGGGGUGAACCGGCCCAGUUCGGAAACAGAGCAGGUCAAAGCUCCCAUGCUGAUCAGUCAUGGGAUUGCGCCUGUGAAUAGCCACUGCACUCCAGCCUGGGCAACAUAGUGAGACCCCAUCUCUU